Molecule: small nucleolar RNA, 142 nt
Organism: Pygocentrus nattereri (red-bellied piranha)
Lineage: Eukaryota; Metazoa; Chordata; Actinopteri; Characiformes; Serrasalmidae
Source: Ensembl
GCUGUAAUGAUGAUCCCCAUGCGUGUCAACUGACUCCAGAGUACCCUGUGCUCCCUGACCACUCCCCAGUGUUCUGCUGGGUGUGCGCUCGGGGCCACAGGUCUCUGCAGGCAUGAUCAGACCUCACUGACCUGAACGCAGC